Molecule: long non-coding RNA, 1332 nt
Filed under: Capsicum annuum
Lineage: Eukaryota; Viridiplantae; Streptophyta; Magnoliopsida; Solanales; Solanaceae
Description: long non-coding RNA (CANN_LNC022412)
Source: RNAcentral
GUUCAGUCCAAUUAUUACAAUCCAAAAAUAGAAAAAUGCGAAAAAUAUAAAUCCUAUUCUAAGCUAGUCCUAGACUAAGCUCCAAUGUUUCACCCGAUGCCUCGGGCCUUGAUCGAGAUCCGCCUUCGCCAACAUGAUACGUCGGUACAUUCCCCGGUGAAUAAAUACAUCAAUCUUCGGGGCAUUCCCCGGCCAAAUGAAUACACUUCAAUCCAAAAACAUAAACCAACACAUUUCAACAAAACACCCUCAAUAUUCAACGAUCGCAAGUCAUAAACUUUGCCUAACCCACUUAUAUUUGUCUAUCAAUGGUCGACCUAAACAUGAUACUACUAUUUUUCAACAACAUCCAUGCUUAUUCCGAACUGGACUACAUAUCACGUUCAAUGUCAACGAUUAAUUAAAACAACAAUAUUCAUUUUUAUCAACUUUCAAUUCUCGUUUUUCCCAAUUUCAUUGUCAAACUAGUUAACCAAUUCUUCGACUAUCAAAUCCAAUAUCAACCACGUACACACAAAAAAGAUUCAAAUACGCUAACCAAACAAGUUAUUCACACCCAUAACAAACGACUAAAAUUCCAAAAUAGAAUAGAGAAUGAGAUGAGAAAUGGACCUCAAUGCUUUAUUGAUUAACUGAUCUUUCCGAAUAGAACCGCGUCCAACGGAACUCAACGUCGAACCUCAGACCGACGAAACCGCAUCUCGGACUAGCCUCGAUAUGAACCCACAACUUGAACAAAAAUCCAAACUAGAAUCAAAUGCCGACCACCAGAAUCCAAACCCGAUUUCCGGUAGAAAACUGAAGACGCGUACAAAAUCGAACCCCGAUGAGCUACCAACUAGAUUUCAUCCAGAAAACAAGAAGACCGAGAGGAUCUAGGGAAUUUUAGGAUGGAUCAGGCCGAAACGAUAAGCUUGACGUCGAUUUCAGUGAGAUUUCACCGAAAUCCAAAGAGAAACGAUCGAACGAGGAAUGAAAAACUAAUUCCGACGAUCUAAGUCGCCGGAACAGUGACCAACGACUUGAAAUCUUCACUCUCUCUCUUGAUUUUUCACCCUCUCUACUUGAUCUAUCCCUUACCCCACUGUAUCUUGCGAAAAAAAAUGAAGAACAGAAGAAAAGAAAUGGUAUUUUUCUCUUUCUCGUUCUCUCUCUGCUACUCUCUCUCUUAUCGAUCUAUUCUCUUUUCUCUAUGUGUGUGUCUGUGAGAUGCUGUGAGGUGUGUGGUCCUUGUGGGAGUAAUGAUGGGUUUGCGAUGGAGAAGAAAAGGAGAGGAUAAUCUACUCUCAAAAAUGGCAUUUUUGAAGCCAGACCCAGGAAGGAAAAAAAAAU